RNAcentral lists this ribosomal RNA (443 nucleotides) under uncultured bacterium. RNAcentral describes it as "partial 16S ribosomal RNA". It matches the Rfam family "Bacterial small subunit ribosomal RNA", at positions 338 to 795 of the family's 1533-position model. The record is from RNAcentral.
ACUACGGGUGGCAGCAGUGGGGAAUAUUGGGCAAUGGGCGCAAGCCUGACCCAGCAACGCCGCGUGAAGGAAGAAGGCUUUCGGGUUGUAAACUUCUUUUGUCAGGGACGAAGCAAGUGACGGUACCUGACGAAUAAGCCACGGCUAACUACGUGCCAGCAGCCGCGGUAAUACGUAGGGGGCAAGCGUUAUCCGGAUUUACUGGGUGUAAAGGGCGUGUAGGCGGGGAAGCAAGUCAGAUGUGAAAACCCCGGGCUCAACCUGUGGCCUGCAGUUGAAACUGUUUUUCUUGAGUGCUGGAGAGGCAAGCGGAAUUCCGUGUGUAGCGGUGAAAUGCGUAGAUAUACGGAGGAACACCAGUGGCGAAGGCGGAUUGCUGGACAGUAACUGACGCUGAGGCGCGAAAGCGUGGGGAGCAAACAGGAUUAGAUACCCUUGUAGUC